RNAcentral lists this ribosomal RNA (773 nucleotides) under Pratylenchus vulnus (walnut meadow nematode). RNAcentral describes it as "eukaryotic LSU rRNA". It matches the Rfam family "Eukaryotic large subunit ribosomal RNA", at positions 344 to 964 of the family's 3401-position model. The record is from RNAcentral. Lineage: Eukaryota; Metazoa; Nematoda; Chromadorea; Rhabditida; Pratylenchidae.
ACAAGUACCGUGAGGGAAAGUUGCAAAGCACUUUGAAGAGAGAGUUAAAGAGGACGUGAAACCGAUGAGAUCGAAACGGAUAGAGUCAGCGUAUCUGACCUGUAUUCAGUCACACAUCUGUCAGUCGUCAUGUGUUGAUUUCCAGACUGGGACAGUGUGUGGCUAGCUGAUUGUUGUGUGGUGCAUUUGCAGGUGGAGUGCGUCGAGACGCUCGGUGUGGCGACAUGAGCUCAGUUUUGAGGCCAGCUUGCUGGUACCCGAAUUGGAGGAAUGUUGUUCACGCUGAGUGGAAUUGGCAAGGCCUACGAGUCCGGUUGGGCAUCGAGCUGGCAGUCGGCGUCGGUCGCAUGCGACACGUGCUGUGCAGUCAGUUCGGUCCUAGUCGAGCUCACAAGCCUAUUCUCGGCGUAAAAGCUGGUCAUCUAUCCGACCCGUCUUGAAACACGGACCAAGGAGUUUAUCGUGUGCGCAAGUCAUUGGGCGUUGAAAACCCAAAGGCGCAAUGAAAGUGAACGCAUCCGCAAGGAGCUGACGUGCGAUCCCGGGUACUGCGGUGCCCGAGCGCAGCAUGGCCCCAUCCCGAUUGCUUGCAAUGGGGUGGAGGAAGAGCGUACGCGGUGAGACCCGAAAGAUGGUGAACUAUUCCUGAGCAGGAUGAAGCCAGAGGAAACUCUGGUGGAAGUCCGAAGCGAUUCUGACGUGCAAAUCGAUCGUCUGACUUGGGUAUAGGGGCGAAAGACUAAUCGAACCAUCUAGUAGCUGGUUCCUUCCGA